AGGGCAGACGGUGGAUGCCUUGGCUCUCGGAGGCGACGAAGGACGUGAUAAGCUGCGAAAAGCCCGGGGGAGGCGCAAAUAGCCCUUGAUCCCGGGAUAUCCGAAUGGGGCAACCCGGCAGGCUGAAGGCCUGCCAUCCCGUAAGGGAGGCGAACGUGGGGAACUGAAACAUCUAAGUACCCAUAGGAGGAGAAAAUAAACAAUGAUUCCGUAAGUAGUGGCGAGCGAACACGGAAGAGCCCAAACCCAUGUCGUCUAGGCGACACGGGGGUUGUAGGACCACGACGUGGCAAGAUAGAGUCAAGUGGAACGCCUUGGAAAAGGCGGUCAUAGAGGGUGAAAACCCCGUACACGACUGACGAUUGAAGCCUAGUGGCAUCCUGAGUAGCGCGGGGCACGAGAAAUCUUGCGUGAAUUAGCGGGGCCCAUCCCGUAAGGCUAAAUACUCCCGAGAGACCGAUAGCGAACCAGUACCGUGAGGGAAAGGUGAAAAGAACCCCGAGCAGGGGAGUGAAAUAGACCCUGAACCCGUCUGCCUACAAGCGGUCGGAGCGUCGUAAUGACGUGACGGCGUGCCUUUUGCAUAAUGAACCUACGAGUUACCUUCCCCGGCAAGGUUAAGUACCUAAGGUACGGAGCCGAAGCGAAAGCGAGUCUGAACAGGGCGCCAAGUCGGGGGGGGUAGACGCGAAACCGAGUGAUCUACCCUUGGCCAGGUUGAAGGUUGGGUAACACCAACUGGAGGACCGGAUGGGUAAGCGUUGAAAAGCUUUCCAAUGAGCUGAGGGUAGGGGUGAAAGGCUAAUCAAACUCGGAGAUAGCUCGUACUCCCCGAAAUGCAUUUAGGUGCAGCCUCUUUAUAGUAUAUCGUGAGGUAGAGCGACUGAUUGGAUGCGAGGGCUUCACCGCCUAUCAAGUCCAGAUAAACUCCGAAUGCGCGAUAUAUAUUUACAGGGAGUGAGGGCGCGGGUGCUAAGGUCCGUGUCCGAGAGGAGAAGAAUCCAGACCACCGGCUAAGGCCCCCAAAUGAUCGUUAAGUUGAACUAACGAGGUCGGAUCGCAGAGACAGCUAGGAUGUUGGCUUGGAAGCAGCCAUUCAUUUAAAGAGUGCGUAACAGCUCACUAGUCGAGCGAUCUGGCGUGGAUAAUAAUCGGGCAUAAACGAUCUGCCGAAGCCGUGGAUGUCGCAAGACAUGGUAGGGGAGCAUUCCAUGCCGCGUCGAAGAUGAGGGGUGACCCUUGUUGGAGCGCAUGGAAAAGCAAAUGUAGGUAUGAGUAACGAUAAGGGGGGCGAGAAACCCCCCCGCCGAAAGACCAAGGUUUCCUGAUCAACGCUAAUCGGAUCAGGGUGAGUCGGGACCUAAGGCAAAGCCGAACGGCGCCGCCGAUGGAAGAAUGGGUUAAUAUUCCCAUACUGCCUCAUGGAGUGACGUGGAGACGGAGAAGUGACAGUCCUGCCGGCUGACGGAAUAGCCGGUUGAAGGGUGUAGAUAUUGAUUCCCGUAGGCAAAUCCGCGGGGAGAGUCGAACCUGAGAGUAUACGGAGCGCUUGCGCAACGUAAUAUGGACGUAACCAUGCUCCCGAGAAAAUCCGCUAAACUUAUCCAUGCGGCACCCGUACCGUAAACGGACACACGUGGUCGGGUUGAGAAUACUGAGGCGCUCGAGUGAUUCACGGUUAAGGAACUAGGCAAAUUGACCCUGUAACUUCGGGAUAAAGGGUCCCAACGAGAGUUGGGCGCAGAGAAUAGGUCCAGGCAACUGUUUAACAAAAACACAGGGCUGUGCUAAAUUGAAAGAUUACGUAUACAGCCUGACACCUGCCCGGUGCUGGAAGGUUAAGAGGAGAUGUCAUCGCAAGAGAAGCAUUGAAUUGAAGCCCCAGUAAACGGCGGCCGUAACUAUAACGGUCCUAAGGUAGCGAAAUUCCUUGUCGGGUAAGUUCCGACCUGCACGAAUGGUGUAAUGAUCUGGACACUGUCUCAACCGUGAGCUCAGUGAAAUUGUAGUAUCGGUGAAGAUGCCGAUUACCCGCGAUGGGACGAAAAGACCCCGUGAACCUUUACUAUAGCUUAACAUUGAAUUUGGGUAAUUGAUGUGUAGGAUAGGCCGGAGACUUUGAAGCAGGUACGCCAGUAUUUGUGGAGUCGCUGUUGAAAUACGGCCCUUUGAUUAUUUGAGUUCUAACUCGUGGAUGCGAGGACACUGUUUGGUGGGUAGUUUGACUGGGGUGGUCGCCUCCAAAAGUGUAACGGAGGCUUCUAAAGGUGCCCUCAGGACGAUUGGUAACCGUCCGUAGAGUGUAAUGGCAUAAGGGCGCUUGACUGGGAGACAGACAAGUCGAUCAGGUAGGAAACUAGAGCAUAGUGAUCCGGUGUUUCCGUAUGGAAGGGACAUCGCUCAAAGGAUAAAAGGUACUCCGGGGAUAACAGGCUGAUCCCUCCCA
This 2446-nucleotide ribosomal RNA is filed under the name human gut metagenome. Its description in RNAcentral is "bacterial LSU rRNA". It matches the Rfam family "Bacterial large subunit ribosomal RNA", at positions 14 to 2494 of the family's 2925-position model. The record is from RNAcentral.